AAUCAACGCUGGCGGCGUGCCUCAGACAUGCAAGUCGAACGCGAAAUCCCGAGCAAUCGGGAAAGUAGAGUGGCGCACGGGUGAGUAACACGUAGGUAAUCUACCUUCGGAUGGGGAAUAACAACCGGAAACGGUUGCUAAUACCGCAUAAUGCAGCGGCACCUAAUGGUGACAGUUGUUAAAGCGGGGGAUCGAAAGACCUCGCGUCUGAAGAGGAGCCUGCGGCGGAUUAGCUAGUUGGUAAGGUAACGGCUUACCAAGGCGACGAUCCGUAGCCGGCCUGAGAGGGCGGUCGGCCACACUGACACUGACAUACGGGUCAGACUCCUACGGGAGGGCAGCAGUCGGGAAUUUUGGGUCAAUGGGCGAAAGCCUGACCCAGCAACGCCGCGUGAAGGAUGAAAUCCCUCGGGAUGUAAACUUCGCAAGAACGGGAAGAAUAAGACGAUAGUUAAUAUCUGUCGUGAUGACGGUACCGUUUGUAAG
Molecule: ribosomal RNA, 486 nt
Filed under: uncultured bacterium
Lineage: Bacteria
Description: bacterial SSU rRNA
Rfam family: Bacterial small subunit ribosomal RNA
Source: RNAcentral